UAAGGAAUAUUGGUCAAUGGACGCAAGUCUGAACCAGCCAUGCCGCGUGAAGGAUGAAGGUCCUCUGGAUUGUAAACUUCUUUUAUCUGGGACGAAAACGGGAUUUUUAUCUCAAUUGACGGUACCAGAGGAAUAAGCACCGGCUAACUCCGUGCCAGCAGCCGCGGUAAUACGGAGGGUGCGAGCGUUAUCCGGAUUUACUGGGUUUAAAGGGUGCGUAGGUGGGCUUAUAAGUCAGUGGUGAAAUCUCCGAGCUUAACUUGGAAACUGCCGUUGAUACUAUAGGUCUUGAAUUAUCUGGAGGUAAGCGGAAUAUGUCAUGUAGCGGUGAAAUGCUUAGAUAUGACAUAGAACACCAAUUGCGAAGGCAGCUUGCUACAUAUAAAUUGACGCUGAGGCACGAAAGCGUGGGGAUCAAA
RNAcentral lists this ribosomal RNA (419 nucleotides) under uncultured bacterium. Its description in RNAcentral is "bacterial SSU rRNA". It matches the Rfam family "Bacterial small subunit ribosomal RNA", at positions 355 to 772 of the family's 1533-position model. The record is from RNAcentral.